Numida meleagris (helmeted guineafowl) is the source of this 600-nucleotide long non-coding RNA. RefSeq lists it as uncharacterized. The record is from RefSeq and is a predicted model, not a curated record. Lineage: Eukaryota; Metazoa; Chordata; Aves; Galliformes; Numididae. The transcript is spliced from 2 exons.
UGUGGGGCAGCUCACACAGACUUGUGCGCUGCAACCUAUGAGGAAUCAGAAAUUUUUCUCUGUAUCAAAGAAACAGCCUGCAAGGUGCAGUCCAGAAAAACUGGACAAAGAUUCCACUUUGGGAAAAAAAAAUGCACCCACAAGACUGAAGCAGACUUCAAACAAGCAAUCGGGGAAGAAUGCAACUCUGUUUCAGGACUUUAAAAAGGGCAACAGCAGGGCCCAAUGGCUGCAAAUAAAUAAGAAACAGGUCCCGGCUGCGAAGCUGCUGCAGUGACGGUCAUCGAGGCUUCUCUUCCUCUUUUCUCCAAGUAAAAAAAUAACAAGUCCACAUCUCUCAGAUCAACGAGUUUUCCUAAGAGCUAAAAAAUGACAACAGAAAAAUGCUGGAGGCGGGGAAAGAAGAAAAAAGAACGGACUACCACAUACAUCAAUUAAAACGAGGGCUUCGCUGGAGAGUGGUUUCUCUGGAAAGCAUCAGUAAAGGGACUGAACAACAGAACUGUGAAAGCGACCGUGGAAACAGACGUCUCUGUUUCAAAUACAGAAAAUGUGCCAUAAAGGCAAAUAAACACAUCACGAUUCUAUUUUACAAUUAAA